This 468-nucleotide ribosomal RNA is filed under the name uncultured bacterium. Its description in RNAcentral is "partial 16S ribosomal RNA". It matches the Rfam family "Bacterial small subunit ribosomal RNA", at positions 28 to 507 of the family's 1533-position model. The record is from RNAcentral.
GACGAACGCUGGCGGCGUGCUUAACACAUGCAAGUCGAACGGAAAGGCCCUGCUUUUGUGGGCUGCUCGAGUGGCGAACGGGUGAGUAACACGUGAGUAACCUGCCCUUGACUUUGGGAUAACUUCAGGAAACUGGGGCUAAUACCGGAUAGGAGCUCCUGCUGCAUGGUGGGGGUUGGAUAGUUUCGGCGGUUGGGGAUGGACUCGCGGCUUAUCAGCUUGUUGGUGGGGUAGUGGCUUACCAAGGCUUUGACGGGUAGCCGGCCUGAGAGGGUGACCGGCCACAUUGGGACUGAGAUACGGCCCAGACUCCUACGGGAGGCAGCAGUGGGGAAUAUUGCACAGUGGGCGGAAGCGUGAUGCAGCAACGCCGCGUGCGGGAUGACGGCCUUCGGGUUGUAAACCGCUUUCGCCUGUGACGAAGCGUGAGUGACGGUAAUGGGAAAAGAAGCACCGGCUAACUACGUG